CCCUACGGGUGGCAGCAGUGAGGAAUAUUGGUCAAUGGGCGGGAGCCUGAACCAGCCAAGUCGCGUGAGGGAAGACGGUCCUAUGGAUUGUAAACCUCUUUAGGCGGGGAGCAAUGCCGGGCACGCGUGCCCGGAGGGAGAGUACCCGCAGAAUAAGCAUCGGUUAACUCCGUGCCAGCAGCCGCGGUAAUACGGAGGAUGCGAGCGUUAUCCGGAUUUAUUGGGUUUAAAGGGUGCGUAGGCGGAUUUUUAAGUCAGCGGUAAAAUGUCCGGGCUCAACCCGGGCCGGCCGUUGAAACUGGGGAUAGUGAGUGGGCGAGAAGUAUGCGGAAUGCGUGGUGUAGCGGUGAAAUGCAUAGAUAUCACGCAGAACUCCGAUUGCGAAGGCAGCAUACCGGCGCCCGACUGACGCUGAGGCACGAAAGCGUGGGGAUCGAACAGGAUUAGAUACCCCGGUAGUC
Molecule: ribosomal RNA, 461 nt
Filed under: uncultured bacterium
Lineage: Bacteria
Description: partial 16S ribosomal RNA
Rfam family: Bacterial small subunit ribosomal RNA
Source: RNAcentral